RNAcentral lists this ribosomal RNA (620 nucleotides) under Bacillus zhangzhouensis. RNAcentral describes it as "bacterial SSU rRNA". It matches the Rfam family "Bacterial small subunit ribosomal RNA", at positions 72 to 677 of the family's 1533-position model. The record is from RNAcentral. Lineage: Bacteria; Bacillati; Bacillota; Bacilli; Caryophanales; Bacillaceae.
AAGGGAGCUUGCUCCCGGAUGUUAGCGGCGGACGGGUGAGUAACACGUGGGUAACCUGCCUGUAAGACUGGGAUAACUCCGGGAAACCGGAGCUAAUACCGGAUAGUUCCUUGAACCGCAUGGUUCAAGGAUGAAAGACGGUUUCGGCUGUCACUUACAGAUGGACCCGCGGCGCAUUAGCUAGUUGGUGGGGUAAUGGCUCACCAAGGCGACGAUGCGUAGCCGACCUGAGAGGGUGAUCGGCCACACUGGGACUGAGACACGGCCCAGACUCCUACGGGAGGCAGCAGUAGGGAAUCUUCCGCAAUGGACGAAAGUCUGACGGAGCAACGCCGCGUGAGUGAUGAAGGUUUUCGGAUCGUAAAGCUCUGUUGUUAGGGAAGAACAAGUGCGAGAGUAACUGCUCGCACCUUGACGGUACCUAACCAGAAAGCCACGGCUAACUACGUGCCAGCAGCCGCGGUAAUACGUAGGUGGCAAGCGUUGUCCGGAAUUAUUGGGCGUAAAGGGCUCGCAGGCGGUUUCUUAAGUCUGAUGUGAAAGCCCCCGGCUCAACCGGGGAGGGUCAUUGGAAACUGGGAAACUUGAGUGCAGAAGAGGAGAGUGGAAUUCCACGUGUA